ACUUGGGCAGAAUACUUGAGUCAGCACCUAGGACCAGUUCUGGAUCGGUUCAGAGAGGGCUCAAAAUACCAUAUUUAUUUUCAUGCUGAACGAUUACUUCCAAACCAUGGAUUGAUUUCACAUCAUUUUCUUGCUUUGAGGGUCACUUGUAGUCCAGGAAUUGGAGUUACAGGGAGCUUGUUCUCCUCUCCCAUCAUCUUCCUCUCAUCUCAUAUUGGUUGUGGUGUCAUGAAUUGGAGACGCAGACAGAAGCAAGUCCAGGUAUGGCAGUUUAAUUAAACAACAACAAGUACGAAGGAUAAGGCAGAAGUCAAUAAUCAUAAUAGGCAGAGUUCAGGUGAUCAGGAAAAGAGAACAAACAGGACAGGGCAAAGAGAAGAGGUCGUAAAUGUGAGUAAAGUCAAAAAACAGAAUAAACAGACACGGUAUAAAAGCUUGGUAUAGACAGAGAAUAUUUGAUAUUGAUAUUUAAUGUUUGCUCCAAGUGGCCUUUCCUGUCAUAUAUUACAUAGAGUAAUCACUACUGCUGUAUGGACCAAUAGCUACAUCACCUGUAACGUGCUCUUGUGUUUUUAAAGCUCAUCUGAAUAGUAAGAUUCAUUUGAUUGCUUGUUCUGCUAAAAGCUGGUAAGUUGUCUGACCUGAGACCUGACAGCAAGUGAUUAAGGAGCAUCAAAUAUAAAUCAAAUACUGCAUUCUUUGAUCCAGUGUGCGCUCACUAGCUGCCUGUCUGGUCUUUAAGUUGUACCGCCAGCUGACUGCUGAGAACAAGAAGUUCAAUCAUAAACUAUGGCACCACUAGUGAAAAAAAGGCUCCGUUUUGUCACCUGGAACACACGUGGCAUUAAAAGCCCACCACAAAAGUUUUCAGAUUUGUUGAGCAGCCUCAUUUCCCUAAAGGCUCAUAUUGCCUUCAUACAAGAGACAUGUGUUGGGCCAACAUGUUAACAAAUCUUGGAUGUUGAAAACUGGAAUGUCUACUUCACUGUACACAGCUCUCGCAGUAAAGGAGUGGCAAUACUGAUCAGCUAUGAUGGACCAUUUGAGUACAUUUGCCAUGAUGAGGAUUGCAGUGGAGGUUACAUUGUGCUCUUCAGUCAUCUGUAUGGUGAACUGUACACUCUUGUUAAUGUGUUCAGUCAUAAGGCAGACAAAAAUGUCUUGGCUAGAUUGAAAGACUAUCUGAGGGAAACAGCUGAGGGUGUGCUAGUGGUUGGAGGUGAUUUCAACACUGUUUUGGAUCCCAGCUUUGAUCGGGUAUCUUCAGCUGUUCUCACAAAACAGUCUUCACUAAGAGCUAUUUUAGAAGACUUUACUAUUUCUUUGAAUCUCAGAGACACCUGGUCAUACCUUCACUCUGUUGAUGGAGGCUUUACACGACGUCAGAAUGAGAGUCACUCCAGGCUGGACAUGUUUUUCAUGUGCAGCGAUGCAAUGGGACGGGUGUGUAGUAGCAAAAUACAGAGCAAUGAAAUUUCAGAUCACAAGCCUCUUGUCCUAGAACUCAAAGUGCAGCAACAGACUGGAAAUAUAAUUCCAAAGGUAGCCUUGUUUUUGAAGGAAAUUAGAGUUGAUGAAGAACCUGACAGGAGAUCAGGGAAGAUUAAUGGGGCAGAAAUACUGAGUUCCAUCAAGACUUUGAUUGACUCCAAUCAAAGACUUGAUACAAUGGAUGUGGAUUACUACAAAAAGUUUUGUUGUCACUUGACUGAGACCUUAAAGAGAAAGUAUAACUUCAUGUUAAAGAAUAAGCAGGUACCUGAAGCUUAUUAUUCAGGAGACAUUUUCAAUGUUGACUGUUUGAUAUUUUCAGAAAUAUUGGCCAAGCGCCUUAGUGUGAAAUUAGGUGGUCCUUCCUGGAACAAACCCUCAGGAGACUAAAACAGAUAUCAUCUGUCCCUCCACUAGACUUCAGCAUUCUGGACUGCCUUUUUCCCAAAGUCCAAAACUUUUCAGGAGCGCUCAGACGUCUGCGGCCUGGCAUUCCCGUCACCAACGCUAUCCUCAAUCUAGCUCUGACACAGCUAGAAGAUCUGAUUCUCAGAAGUGAAACAGAGUGCAGGACCAGUGUUUCCUUUCACAGACAGGCACUGGUUAUACAUGCAGACCAGAGCAAACGGGGGAAAGUUGUUAGGGUACUAGAGAAAUUCCAGGACGACUCAGGAAUUAGGCUUACAGAAUGCCACAUAAUAGAUUGAAAUGAUUAAAGCACAAGUGUAGAAAACUAGACACAAUCAGAAGGAAAGGGUGAUCAGGAGCUGGAACUUAUUAAAUGCUAUACACAUUUUAUUAUUAUUAUUAUUAUUAUUAUUAUUAUUAGUAGUAGUAGUAGUAGUAGUAGUAAUAGUAAUGUUAUUAUUGUUUUACUAUAUUACCACAGUUUAAUUUUACACUAUACUUAUAUAUCAAGCAGAUUAUAAAAUACUUUAUUGUUGUACAGAUUUAGAGACUGGGAUGCAAGCACGGAUGUUUUUGUUUAAUACUGGGCAUAAUGAACAGCUUGCUAAUACUUGUGGGGAUGUUUGCCAAGUUUUCAAAACUAUACAGAAAGACAUGAAACUCAUCCCAAAAUGUUCAGGCAUAGGACUAGGUACAAGUAUUCUCCCUCUUUUUCUUGGUCUUUUUCAGGAAAAACAGUUAACAGUGGUCCACGUUUAUGAUUUCAGUAUCUAUCUUCAAUACAUAACAUAUACGGAACUUGGCAACAAUGUUCAUGGAACUUUAGAAAAGAGCUACUUCAUUUUUUUUACUAAUGGGAAGUUGAUUUUAGUUGAAAUCCUGAACUCCAAAAUAUAAUUAUAUUUCUAGCAUAUUUCUAUUUUUUUUAAAAAUCAUUCAUUGAACUGUUGUUCCUUAUACUGUAGCUCACACACCAUGCACAGUGCACAGAGAUGCACAUCUCUCUCAACAGAAUUAAUAAUUUAAUAUUGUAUUAAAAAUGUAUUUUAAAUAAUAUGUAAAAUAUUCUAAAACUUGUACAUUAAUUGUGCAUGUUUUUGUUGUUCUUAAAUAAUUGUUAUCCAAAUUUAUUGAAAGAAAUUGUUUACAUAAAUUCAUACGGUCAUUAUAAUGAAAUGCUUUGCAAAUAAUCCAAACAAUUUUGACUCAAGCAGCACUGUAAGGGUAUUCAAGUUUUAUAGUAGGUUCUCACAUUUCCAGCAAACUCUUCUGAUUUUUCUGCAAUGCAACAAACCCAAAAAUGGCAUUGGGAGACACACCAAAUACAGCCUCUGGAUGGGACACCAGUUCAUCAUAGAGCACCAUGCAGACAAACUUUUACAGGAUCAUUCAUACCUAGAGACAAUUUAGAAUAGCCUCCUGGCAAUGUGAGGACACCAGGGAACCCAGAAAAAAAAACCCAUUUGGAAACAGGGAGAACAUGCACAUGAGAAACUCCACACAGACAGUAACCUGAGCUCAGGAUUGAAUCAUGGACUGUGAAGAUGUAAGGAGGAAAUGCUGUGUGCUGAGUCACUUGUUUUAUGCCUUUCAUUAUUAUUUUGUUCAAUACUGUAUUUUCUUUGCAUGUGGGCAAUUCUGUAGUAAUUACAUGCUACAUGCAUAUUUGGGAUUUGCCUUUUAUUUUUUGGGAUUAAAUGAUAGUCAUUUGGAAUGCAUUUCAUUUCAUAAAAUCUUGGGUCCAUCUAUUGGCCGUUUCAGGAAUGACCACAUACUGUAUAAGGGCGCACUGGUACCACAGUUAGUCAUUAAAGUCCGGCAUCAAGUUCUGGCAUCUCUAGAUCCAGAAUUAAAACAGAUUCAGAAAAUUAUCAAGGGUUUUAGACGCUGUCUACAGUUACUUAUACUGAGAGUCACUUCAUGAGCUCACAUUACUGGAUUCAACUCUAUUCUAUAAGGACAUAUACUUGUAUCUAUUAACAGCAACAAGUAUAAAUGGUAGCAAUUUGACAGUAAUAGUAGAUUUGGUGAUCAUGAUAUAUACAUAAACUGUGGGUUUUUUGUUUAGUUUUUUGUUUUUGUUUUUAGCCCUUGUUUAGUCUAGUAGUAUUUAUUUUUACAUUUAAAUUACAUAUACAUUAUAUACAGUACAUUCAAAUUAUUUUUUUUUGUUAGUAAGAUGUAUUUUGUUGGAUUUACUGACUCACACUGGAUGAGAUGUCUCAUUCACCUCCCACAUGAUAUAUUAAUCUUUAAAAUUCUCCAUCAAAUUAGAUUAGAUUCACCAUUAAACGAGCUAUAUAGUAAGGUUUUAUACAUUAGUUAGUUUGUUAGCUAGCUAAUUAAGAUUUGCAAUUUUUCUUGUUGAAUUAGCUAGCUAGUUCUUUUUUUCAUUUUUAUUGUGGCUUAGCAUUCAUUUCAAAAGAGUUAUUAAACAAAGGUAGUUUUUUUUUCCUGAUAACUAAUUUCUUAGUGAACCAGCUUAAUGCUUAAUUAAUCAGGUGUGAUGAACUUUUGGUCAGCUCUUUUAAUCAGUUAAAUACGUAUUACUCUUUAGACAUUUGAUUUUAACUCAGUGGAUGUUUACCUCUAUACAGUACUCCGUGAGUAAGGGUUGGGUCCAAGGGUUGGAAUGAUAUUAAAACAAGACAUGACAGGCACAAGGACUGAGUAAAUGGGCUUACUCCAGUAGUUCUGGAGGAAACUGCACUGGCAGUUCAGAAUGUAAAUGUAAUGAUGUGUAAAACUUGAAUGUAAAACUAUGAUAAUAAAAAUAUUUGUAAAUAUUGAUAUAAUGUGUUUGUAACAUUAAACACUAGAUCAUUAGCACUGUGAUCUCCAGUUACAGUAUAUACAAUAUGUGCAGUUGUAAAAUUGUGUUAACAAAUGUGUGUAAGGCAUGAAUUCAAUAGUUAUAGAUUUAUUUGCAGUACCUAUAAUAAAAUAAAGGCUGAUCUAAAUAUUUUCAAUCUAUCAGUAGUUACAUCUCGGUUUCCUGUGCAGGUUAAUACAAUUUUAAUUGAAUAAAAUGUGCACAUUUAUCUUUGGCUACAUCUUUGCACAAUGUAUGACCAUG
Ictalurus punctatus (channel catfish) is the source of this 4975-nucleotide long non-coding RNA. RefSeq lists it as uncharacterized. The record is from RefSeq and is a predicted model, not a curated record. The transcript is spliced from 6 exons. NCBI's taxonomy places the organism in Eukaryota, Metazoa, Chordata, Actinopteri, Siluriformes, Ictaluridae.